CACCAUGCCCUCUGCUGGUGCACUGGGAAAUCACAAAGCCUUCUGGGUAGUGAGCCGUCAUUUCCUACAGGAUCCUGCAUAACCUGGGAUUCCAGGAUGGGUGGCAGAGCUCCCCUGCUUCUGUCCCCUCUGUUUCCCCACUGUUUCUCCUCGGCCCCCUCCUGGUGCUGCGCGCUCCUCGCUGCUCACCGCAGCUCCCCUCUGCUCACACUCGCGGGACAUCCACCUGGUGCCCGGCACUGCCCUGGAGCCCGGGAGGACGGUGCUGAGGAGGGAGCAGCCCGGUGCUGGGAGAGAAGCGCAAACGGGAGAGGAACGCAGAGGUUGUAGAAGGUGAUACAGAAGGACAGAAGUAGCCACAGAAUGUGUGGUACAGACACGCAGCUAGGAUGGGCCAUGAGGUCCACGGAGAAGGACGCGU
This 421-nucleotide long non-coding RNA is filed under the name Cavia porcellus (domestic guinea pig). RNAcentral's name for it is "lncRNA (ENSCPOG00000037710.1)". Lineage: Eukaryota; Metazoa; Chordata; Mammalia; Rodentia; Caviidae. The record is from RNAcentral.